UACGGGGGGGGCAAGCGUUGUUCGGAAUUACUGGGCGUAAAGGGCUCGUAGGUGGCCAACUAAGUCAGACGUGAAAUCCCUCGGCUUAACCGGGGAACUGCGUCUGAUACUGGAUGGCUUGAGUUCGGGAGAGGGAUGCGGAAUUCCAGGUGUAGCGGUGAAAUGCGUAGAUAUCUGGAGGAACACCGGUGGCGAAAGCGGCUCACUGGACCGAAUCUGACACUGAGGUGCGAAAGCUAGGGUAGCAAACGGG
Molecule: ribosomal RNA, 253 nt
Filed under: uncultured bacterium
Lineage: Bacteria
Description: partial 16S ribosomal RNA
Rfam family: Bacterial small subunit ribosomal RNA
Source: RNAcentral